UGCAGUCGAGCGGUAGCACAGAGAGCUUGCUCUCGGGUGACGAGCGGCGGACGGGUGAGUAAUGUCUGGGAAACUGCCUGAUGGAGGGGGAUAACUACUGGAAACGGUAGCUAAUACCGCAUAACGUCGCAAGACCAAAGUGGGGGACCUUCGGGCCUCAUGCCAUCAGAUGUGCCCAGAUGGGAUUAGCUGGUAGGUGGGGUAACGGCUCACCUAGGCGACGAUCCCUAGCUGGUCUGAGAGGAUGACCAGCCACACUGGAACUGAGACACGGUCCAGACUCCUACGGGAGGCAGCAGUGGGGAAUAUUGCACAAUGGGCGCAAGCCUGAUGCAGCCAUGCCGCGUGUGUGAAGAAGGCCUUCGGGUUGUAAAGCACUUUCAGCGGGGAGGAAGGCGGUGAGGUUAAUAACCUCACCGAUUGACGUUACCCGCAGAAGAAGCACCGGCUAACUCCGUGCCAGCAGCCGCGGUAAUACGGAGGGUGCAAGCGUUAAUCGGAAUUACUGGGCGUAAAGCGCACGCAGGCGGUCUGUCAAGUCGGAUGUGAAAUCCCCGGGCUCAACCUGGGAACUGCAUUCGAAACUGGCAGGCUAGAGUCUUGUAGAGGGGGGUAGAAUUCCAGGUGUAGCGGUGAAAUGCGUAGAGAUCUGGAGGAAUACCGGUGGCGAAGGCGGCCCCCUGGACAAAGACUGACGCUCAGGUGCGAAAGCGUGGGGAGCAAACAGGAUUAGAUACCCUGGUAGUCCACGCUGUAAACGAUGUCGAUUUGGAGGUUGUGCCCUUGAGGCGUGGCUUCCGGAGCUAACGCGUUAAAUCGACCGCCUGGGGAGUACGGCCGCAAGGUUAAAACUCAAAUGAAUUGACGGGGGCCCGCACAAGCGGUGGAGCAUGUGGUUUAAUUCGAUGCAACGCGAAGAACCUUACCUGGUCUUGACAUCCACAGAACUUUCCAGAGAUGGAUUGGUGCCUUCGGGAACUGUGAGACAGGUGCUGCAUGGCUGUCGUCAGCUCGUGUUGUGAAAUGUUGGGUUAAGUCCCGCAACGAGCGCAACCCUUAUCCUUUGUUGCCAGCGGUCCGGCCGGGAACUCAAAGGAGACUGCCAGUGAUAAACUGGAGGAAGGUGGGGAUGACGUCAAGUCAUCAUGGCCCUUACGACCAGGGCUACACACGUGCUACAAUGGCAUAUACAAAGAGAAGCGACCUCGCGAGAGCAAGCGGACCUCAUAAAGUAUGUCGUAGUCCGGAUUGGAGUCUGCAACUCGACUCCAUGAAGUCGGAAUCGCUAGUAAUCGUAGAUCAGAAUGCUACGGUGAAUACGUUCCCGGGCCUUGUACACACCGCCCGUCACACCAUGGGAGUGGGUUGCAAAAGAAGUAGGUAGCUUAACCUCGGAGGGCGCUA
RNAcentral lists this ribosomal RNA (1404 nucleotides) under Klebsiella sp. ICB529. RNAcentral describes it as "bacterial SSU rRNA". It matches the Rfam family "Bacterial small subunit ribosomal RNA". The record is from RNAcentral. Lineage: Bacteria; Pseudomonadati; Pseudomonadota; Gammaproteobacteria; Enterobacterales; Enterobacteriaceae.